This 508-nucleotide non-coding RNA is filed under the name Trichobilharzia regenti. Its description in RNAcentral is "Eukaryotic large subunit ribosomal RNA". It matches the Rfam family "Eukaryotic large subunit ribosomal RNA", at positions 1906 to 2314 of the family's 3401-position model. Lineage: Eukaryota; Metazoa; Platyhelminthes; Trematoda; Strigeidida; Schistosomatidae. The record is from Rfam by way of RNAcentral.
GAGAAGGGAAAUCGGCAAAUUGGAUCCCUAACUUCAAAAGAAGGAUUGUCUCCAGGGCAGAGUCAGACAAUCCGCUAUCAGAUACGUAUCAGUCCAGUUGGUUUCUUUGCUUUUUUGUGUUCUUUGAUGCACAUUAUUGUGGAGUUACUGGACUCUAACUGUGAUCUAUCAUGAGCGCCUUCAGCUGUUAGUGUUGUAUGCCUAGCAACACGCGUGGACUUGUUCUGCAAUGCUUUAAGCGGUUGUGAUUCCAUUGUUUGGCGCACGAUGGCUAACUCAGAAAUGAAACAGAUAAGGGGAAUCCGACUGUUUAAUUAAAACAAAGCAUUACAAUGUCCACUGACCGAUUAUGAUACAAUGUGAUUUCUGCCCAGUGCUCUGAAUGUCAGAGUAAAGAAAUUCAAAUAAGCGCAGGUAAACGGAGGGAGUAACUAUGAAGUCAGUUAUUUCAAUAUAUCCAUUUUUGUGAUAAAUGCUGAGCAUCACAGCAGAAUUCUCUUUCUAUCUC